UACGUAGGGGGCAAGCGUUGUCCGGAUUUAUUGGGCGUAAAGAGCGUGUAGGCGGCCAGAUAGGUCCGUUGUGAAAACUCGAGGCUCAACCUCGAGACGCCGAUGGAAACCAUCUGGCUAGAGUCCGGGAGAGGAGAGUGGAAUUCCUGGUGUAGCGGUGAAAUGCGCAGAUAUCAGGAAGAACACCCGUGGCGAAAGCGGCUCUCUGGAACGGUACUGACGCUGAGACGCGAAAGCGUGGGGAGCGAACAGG
This 253-nucleotide ribosomal RNA is filed under the name uncultured bacterium. RNAcentral's name for it is "partial 16S ribosomal RNA". It matches the Rfam family "Bacterial small subunit ribosomal RNA", at positions 524 to 776 of the family's 1533-position model. The record is from RNAcentral.